This 87-nucleotide microRNA precursor is filed under the name Anolis carolinensis (green anole). Its description in RNAcentral is "miRNA (ENSACAG00000020355.2)". The stretch from base 9 to 80 matches the Rfam family "mir-21 microRNA precursor family". The record is from RNAcentral. Lineage: Eukaryota; Metazoa; Chordata; Lepidosauria; Squamata; Anolidae.
UACCUUUCUGUCGGAUAGCUUAUCAGACUGAUGUUGACUGUUGGAUGUCAUGGCAACAACAGUCGGUAGGCUGUCUGACAUUUUGGU